This 379-nucleotide ribosomal RNA is filed under the name uncultured eukaryote. RNAcentral describes it as "partial 18S ribosomal RNA". It matches the Rfam family "Eukaryotic small subunit ribosomal RNA", at positions 592 to 976 of the family's 1831-position model. The record is from RNAcentral.
CAAUAGCGUAUAUUAAAGUUGUUGCGGUUAAAAAGCUCGUAGUUGGAUCUGCGCCUUCGGACUCGGUCCGCCCAACGGGUGUGAACUGGGAUCCAAGGCUUAUACUGCUGGUUUUCCCUUGAUGCUCUUUACUGGGUGUCUUGGGUGGCUAGCGAGUUUACUUUGAAAAAAUUAGAGUGCUUAACACAGGCUAACGCCUGAAUACUUGUGCAUGGAAUAAUAGAAUAAGACCACGGUUCUAUUUUAUUGGUUUUCGGAACUGUGAUAAUGGUUAAGAGGGACAGACGGGGGCAUUCGUAUCGCUGCGUGAGAGGUGAAAUUCUUGGACCGCAGCGAGACGCCCUACUGCGAAAGCAUUUGCCAAGAAUGUCUUCGUUAA